Molecule: long non-coding RNA, 963 nt
Organism: Panthera uncia (snow leopard)
Lineage: Eukaryota; Metazoa; Chordata; Mammalia; Carnivora; Felidae
Exons: 5
Source: RefSeq, a predicted model, not a curated record
CUGAUUCUAACACCUCUUUCAUAUCUGGAGAGACUGAGGCCCAGAGAGGUGACAGGAGUUAUUCAAUGAUUUAGCUUCUGAGCCUGGAUAAGAGGCCAGGGGUUCCAUUCCCUCCUUGGUGGUCUUUUUAUUUCAUCUUCUCCAGGCUAGAUGGUAACCCUCAGCACACACGAGUUCUAUGAACUUUCAGGCAAAUACAGACAGAAAUAAAGGAAGAUAGACCGAACAAGGCAGAAAGAAUGACUCGGUUUGCUUACGCCUGAGCCUACAGCAAUACACCAAAGUAAAAGGCCUGCUUCCUCACUCCUGGACCAGCCAUCACACAUGUGCACUGCCCCGGAUGCUCCUCUCCCAGGUGACAUCAUCAGGUGUUCCAUAAAGCAAUUCGGUGAGUCCAUAUAUUACUCAGUGCUCAUCAAGUGCCUGGCAUAGAGCAGCUAUUUAAGAAAUAUUUACUGAACUGACAGAGGGCUGAAGGAGUGCCCCUUUACCUUCGUCGGUCCUGAGGAGGGCUUUUUCAGAAGACUUGCCUUGUCCAGGCACUUCAUUCUCACUAAGUUCUUCCAGUGCAUUGUCAAAUAGGAGUGAUGAGAGAAGACAUCUUUGACUUGUUCUUGAUCUUUGGAGGAAGGCAUUCAGUCUCUUACCAUUAAGUACAUUAACUUGACUGCAUUUCUUGGAGAAAACUUGGUGAGCAAGCAUCUGCCCCACUGCACAUCAAGGACGUUCCAGACUUUGAGCCAGUUUAUACCCUCAGGGCAGCACGUGCAGGCUCUUCUUGCUUUUCUUAGAACCAUCGUUGGAAUCAAGAACUGGCUCUUGAAUUACUCCCAGCUGCCCGUAUUCACCCUCCCCUGAUCUGUGCUUCCCUAGUUAUGCUUUACCAUGAAAUACUGUUUGGACUGGUUUCAUAGAAACACCUUGAUUCUUCCCUCGAUGACGGUAAGCAUUGUGACAGAGUCU